This 301-nucleotide ribosomal RNA is filed under the name uncultured bacterium. Its description in RNAcentral is "partial 16S ribosomal RNA". It matches the Rfam family "Bacterial small subunit ribosomal RNA", at positions 509 to 808 of the family's 1533-position model. The record is from RNAcentral.
CAGCAGCCACGGUAAUACGUAGGGUGCGAGCGUUAAUCGGAAUUACUGGGCGUAAAGCGUGCGCAGGCGGUUGUGUAAGACAGGUGUGAAAUCCCCGGGCUUAACCUGGGAACUGCGCUUGUGACUGCACAGCUAGAGUAUGGCAGAGGGGGGGUGGAAUUCCACGUGUAGCAGUGAGAUGCGUAGAGAUGUGGAGGAACACCGAUGGCGAAGGCAACCCCCUGGGCCAAUACUGACGCUCAUGCACGAAAGCGUGGGGAGCAAACAGGAUUAGAUACCCCCGUAGUCCCUGUCUCUUAUU